RNAcentral lists this ribosomal RNA (245 nucleotides) under uncultured bacterium. RNAcentral describes it as "partial 16S ribosomal RNA". It matches the Rfam family "Bacterial small subunit ribosomal RNA", at positions 524 to 768 of the family's 1533-position model. The record is from RNAcentral.
UACGUAGGGGGCGAGCGUUAUCCGGAAUUAUUGGGCGUAAAGGGCACGCAGGCGGUGCUCUGCGUGGAUGGUGACAGCUUCCGGCUUAACCAGGAGAGUGCCAUCCAAACGGGAGCACUUGAGAGCGAGAGAGGAAUACGGAACUCCAGGUGGAGCAGUGAAAUGCGUAGAGAUCUGGAAGAACACCAACGGCGAAGGCAGUAUUCUGGCUCGUUUCUGACGCUCAGGUGCGAAAGCUAGGGGAG